CGAGCAGUAUUUUCAUAAUAGACGCAUGUUGACAACUAUAUAGACUAUGCUUUUCUCGAUCCCCGUUUAGGUGAACAAUAUUGAGCGAGAAGGAUACCGAUAGUUAAGGGCAAUCACGGGUAGAAUUUCAUUGUGUUUUUAUUAAGCCAUGCAAUUGAUUUUGAAUAUUCAUAGCACGAUUGUUUAUAAUGAUCGUGGACCAUAUCGUCCAACCGUCACAUU
This is a non-coding RNA of Cinara cedri, 222 nucleotides long. Lineage: Eukaryota; Metazoa; Arthropoda; Insecta; Hemiptera; Aphididae. The record is from the annotation of a GenBank genome assembly.